This 499-nucleotide ribosomal RNA is filed under the name uncultured bacterium. RNAcentral's name for it is "partial 16S ribosomal RNA". It matches the Rfam family "Bacterial small subunit ribosomal RNA", at positions 28 to 507 of the family's 1533-position model. The record is from RNAcentral.
GACGAACGCUGGCGGCGUGCCUAAUACAUGCAAGUCGAGCGAAGUUUUUCUGGUGCUUGCACCGGAAAAACUUAGCGGCGAACGGGUGAGUAACACGUAAAGAACCUGCCUCAUAGACUGGGACAACUAUUGGAAACGAUAGCUAAUACCGGAUAAUAGCAUUAACUGCAUGGUUGAUGUUUAAAAGUUGGUUUUGCUAACACUAUGAGAUGGCUUUGCGGUGCAUUAGCUAGUUGGUGGGGUAAAGGCCUACCAAGGCGACGAUGCAUAGCCGACCUGAGAGGGUGAUCGGCCACACUGGGACUGAGACACGGCCCAGACUCCUACGGGAGGCAGCAGUAGGGAAUGUUCCGCAAUGGGCGGGAGCAUGAGGGAGCAACGCCGCGUGAGUGAAGAAGCAUUUCGGUUCGUAAAGCUCUGUUGUUAGGGAAGAAUGAUUGUGUAGUAACUAUACACAGUAGAGACGGUACCUAACCAGAAAGCCACGGCUAACUACGUG